Molecule: ribosomal RNA, 439 nt
Filed under: uncultured bacterium
Lineage: Bacteria
Description: partial 16S ribosomal RNA
Rfam family: Bacterial small subunit ribosomal RNA
Source: RNAcentral
CCACGGGAGGCACCAGUGGGGAAUAUUGCACAAUGGAGGAAACUCUGAUGCAGCAACGCCGCGUGGAGGAUGACACUUUUCGGAGCGUAAACUCCUUUUAUAUAGGAAGAAGAUGACGGUACUAUAUGAAUAAGCGCCGGCUAACCCCGUGCCAGCAGCCGCGGUAAUACGGAGGGCGCAAGCGUUACUCGGAAUCACUGGGCGUAAAGAGCGUGUAGGCGGAUUAAAAAGUCAGAAGUGAAAUCCUAUAGCUUAACUAUAGAACUGCUUCUGAAACUCUUAAUCUAGAAUAUGGGAGAGGUAGAUGGAAUUUCUGGUGUAGGGGUAAAAUCCGUAGAGAUCAGAAGGAAUACCGAUUGCGAAGGCGAUCUACUAGAACAUUAUUGACGCUGAGACGCGAAAGCGUGGGGAGCAAACAGGAUUAGAUACCCCCGUAGUC